AUACGGAGGGUGCAAGCGUUAUCCGGAAUCAUUGGGUUUAAAGGGUCCGCAGGCGGAUUAAUAAGUCAGUGGUGAAAUCCUCUCGCUCAACGAGAGAGCUGCCAUUGAAACUGUUAGUCUUGAAUUCGGUCGAAGUAGGCGGAAUGUGUCAUGUAGCGGUGAAAUGCAUAGAUAUGACACAGAACACCGAUAGCGAAGGCAGCUUACUAGACCUGGAUUGACGCUCAUGGACGAAAGCGUGGGGAGCGAACAGGAUUAGAAACCCUAGCAGUCC
RNAcentral lists this ribosomal RNA (274 nucleotides) under uncultured bacterium. Its description in RNAcentral is "partial 16S ribosomal RNA". It matches the Rfam family "Bacterial small subunit ribosomal RNA", at positions 523 to 796 of the family's 1533-position model. The record is from RNAcentral.